UCCGACCUCAGAUCGGACGAGAUUACCCGCUGAAUUUAAGCAUAUAACUAAGCGGAGGAAAAGAAACUAACAAGGAUUUCCCCAGUAACGGCGAGUGAAGCGGAAAAAGCCCAGCACCGAAUCCCUCAGUGUCAUGCUGACGGGAACUGUGGUGUGUGGGACGCCACCAGUCGCAUCAGCGGGCGCCGAAGUCCUCCUGAUCGAGGCUUCACCCAGAGCGGGUGUAAGGCCUUUGCAGGUGCCUCGCUGUGCGGCCGCGAGCGCCCUAGGAGUCGGGUUGUUUGGGAAUGCAGCCCAAAGCGGGUGGUAAACUCCAUCU
Molecule: ribosomal RNA, 319 nt
Filed under: Melayonchis aileenae
Lineage: Eukaryota; Metazoa; Mollusca; Gastropoda; Systellommatophora; Onchidiidae
Also listed under: 3 other names
Description: partial 28S ribosomal RNA
Rfam family: Eukaryotic large subunit ribosomal RNA
Source: RNAcentral